This 383-nucleotide long non-coding RNA is filed under the name Chinchilla lanigera (long-tailed chinchilla). Its description in RNAcentral is "lncRNA (ENSCLAG00000026839.1)". The record is from RNAcentral. Lineage: Eukaryota; Metazoa; Chordata; Mammalia; Rodentia; Chinchillidae.
CAGGUUACGAUAUAGAGCUGGUUGCUAAGCUCUGUCUCAACCUUAUUUUCCUCUUUAAAAUUAUCACCGUUAAUGUUAACAUUAAGAUAUAAAUCCCUCUCUUUGCCAGUUUCAACUAGCAUCCUUUUUCUAUCUUGACUCUUACACUUGUGUCUUGAUUAUGCCAUAGGUACGCAUACAGGAAGAAGACGAAAUCAACUACAGUGACAGCGAUAGCGAUGAUAAUGUGACGGUCAUUAUUGGCAGCAUAAAAAGAAACCCCUCCUUGUUUAUGGAGAAGCUCCCAAAUCUAAACUCGCAAACAGGUGAAGACUUUGAAACAUCUUCAUCAGGUACCUUACUCCUUAUUUAUAUUGUUAUUGAAGUUAUAUGUUGCAUCCUUG